GCAGGAUUUGGGGUGUGGGAUUUUGCUGCAGGGCUUUGGAUGCAGCACUUCGGGUGUGGGAUUUUGCUGCAGGGGUUUGGAUGCAGGGCUUUGGACGCAGGAUUUUGGGUGCAGGACUUUGACGGAGGAUUUUGGGUGUGGGAUUUUGCUGCAGGGCUUUGGUUGCAGGAUUUUGGAUGCAGGAUUUUGCAUGUGGGACUUCGCUGCAGGGCUUUGGUGCAGGACUUUGGCACCUGCUUUUGGCCCAGGAUUGCAGCGCAGGACUGCAACGCAGCGCUUUGGGUGCAGCGCUUCGGUGCAGAACGGGGUAUGGGAUUUGGGGUGCAGGGCUUUGCUGCAGGGUUUGAGUGUGGGAUUUCGGUGCAGGAUUUGGGCUGCAGGGCUUUGGUGCAGGAUUUGAGUGCAGGGCUUUGGGUGCAGGAGGUUGGCACAAGGCUUUGGCACAGGAUUUGGUGCAGGACUUUGAUUGCAGGAUUUUGGGUGCAGCACUUUGGUGCAGAACUGAGUAUGGGGCUUUGGGUGCAGGACUUCGGUGCAGGGCUUUGGGUGCACGACUUUGGGUGCAGGACUUUGAAUGCGGCACUUUGGUGCAGGACUUUGGGCGUGGGAUUUUGCAUCAGGGCUUUGGGUGCAGGACUUUGGUUGCAGGAUUUCGGUGCAGGAUUUGGGCUGCAGGGCUUUGGAUGCAGGACUUUGUUUGCAGGUCUUUGGUGCAGGGCUUUGGGUGCAGGGCUUUGUGUGCAGGACUUUGGAUGCAGGACUUCGGGUGCAGGAUUUUGGUGCAGGACUUUGGAUGCAGGACUUUGGUGCAGGGCUUUGGUGCAGGGCUUUGGUGCAGGAUUUCAGUGCAGGCUUUGGUGCAGGACUUUG
RNAcentral lists this long non-coding RNA (870 nucleotides) under Gallus gallus (chicken). Its description in RNAcentral is "lncRNA (ENSGALG00010009698.1)". The record is from RNAcentral. Lineage: Eukaryota; Metazoa; Chordata; Aves; Galliformes; Phasianidae.